GACGAACGCUGGCGGCGUGCUUAACACAUGCAAGUCGAACGAAGUGGCGAACGGGUGAGUAACGCGUAAUCAACCUGCCCUUCAGAGGGGGACACCAGUUGGAAACGACUGCUAAUACCGCAUACUGAAGGAGGCGUUUGCGUCUGAUGAGGUAGUUGAAGGGGUAAAGGCCCACCAAGGCGAUGAGCAGUCGACGGUCUGAGAAGAUGAACGGCAACAGUGGGACUGAGACACGGGCCAGACACCUACGGGAGGCAGCAGGGGGGAAUCUUCCGCAAGGGGCGGAAGUCUGACGGAGCAACGCCGCGGGAGUGAUGACGGCCUGCGGGUUGUAAAGCUCUGUUAAUCGGGACGCGGUACCGGAAUAGAAAGCCACGGCUAACUACGUGCCAGCAGCCGCGGUAAUUC
Molecule: ribosomal RNA, 408 nt
Filed under: uncultured bacterium
Lineage: Bacteria
Description: partial 16S ribosomal RNA
Rfam family: Bacterial small subunit ribosomal RNA
Source: RNAcentral